CGUGCUUAACACAUGCAAGUCGAACGGUGAAGCCCAGCUUGCUGGGUGGAUCAGUGGCGAACGGGUGAGUAACACGUGAGCAACCUGCCCCUGACUCUGGGAUAAGCGCUGGAAACGGCGUCUAAUACUGGAUAUGUGACGUGACCGCAUGGUCUGCGUCUGGAAAGAAUUUCGGUUGGGGAUGGGCUCGCGGCCUAUCAGCUUGUUGGUGAGGUAAUGGCUCACCAAGGCGUCGACGGGUAGCCGGCCUGAGAGGGUGACCGGCCACACUGGGACUGAGACACGGCCCAGACUCCUACGGGAGGCAGCAGUGGGGAAUAUUGCACAAUGGGCGCAAGCCUGAUGCAGCAACGCCGCGUGAGGGAUGACGGCCUUCGGGUUGUAAACCUCUUUUAGCAGGGAAGAAGCGAAAGUGACGGUACCUGCAGAAAAAGCGCCGGCUAACUACGUGCCAGCAGCCGCGGUAAUACGUAGGGCGCAAGCGUUAUCCGGAAUUAUUGGGCGUAAAGAGCUCGUAGGCGGUUUGUCGCGUCUGCUGUGAAAUCCGGAGGCUCAACCUCCGGCCUGCAGUGGGUACGGGCAGACUAGAGUGCGGUAGGGGAGAUUGGAAUUCCUGGUGUAGCGGUGGAAUGCGCAGAUAUCAGGAGGAACACCGAUGGCGAAGGCAGAUCUCUGGGCCGUAACUGACGCUGAGGAGCGAAAGGGUGGGGAGCAAACAGGCUUAGAUACCCUGGUAGUCCACCCCGUAAACGUUGGGAACUAGUUGUG
Molecule: ribosomal RNA, 768 nt
Filed under: Microbacterium sp.
Lineage: Bacteria; Bacillati; Actinomycetota; Actinomycetes; Micrococcales; Microbacteriaceae
Description: bacterial SSU rRNA
Rfam family: Bacterial small subunit ribosomal RNA
Source: RNAcentral